Molecule: non-coding RNA, 3317 nt
Organism: Kogia breviceps (pygmy sperm whale)
Lineage: Eukaryota; Metazoa; Chordata; Mammalia; Artiodactyla; Physeteridae
Source: RefSeq, a predicted model, not a curated record
CGCGUGAUCGCCGGCGCAGCAGAGCCCUGCGCGCCUGUGCCUGCGCCGCCCGCCCCAGGCCCCGGCCUCGGCCGAGCGAUGUUGCUGCUGGCGGCCGCCUUCCUCGUGGCGUUCGUGCUGCUGCUCUACAUGGUGUCUCCGCUCAUCAGCCCCAAGCCCCUCGCCCUGCCCGGGGCGCAUGUGGUGGUUACAGGAGGCUCCAGUGGCAUCGGAAAGUGCAUUGCUAUCGAGUGCUAUAAACAAGGAGCUUUUAUAACUCUGGUUGCACGAAAUGAGGACAAACUGUUGCAGGCAAAGAAAGAAAUCGAAAAACACUCUAUUAAUGAUAAACAGGUGGUGCUUUGUAUAUCAGUUGAUGUGUCUCAAGACUAUAGCCAAGUAGAGAAUGUCAUAAAACAAGCACAGGAGAAACUGGGCCCAGUGGACAUGCUUGUAAACUGUGCAGGAAUGUCACUUGCAGGAAAAUUUGAAGAUCUUGAAGUUAGUACUUUUGAAAGAUUAAUGAGCGUCAACUACCUGGGCAGCGUGUACCCCAGCCGAGCUGUGAUCGCCACCAUGAAGGAGCGCCGCGUGGGCAGGAUUGUCUUUGUGUCCUCCCAGGCGGGGCAGUUGGGCUUAUUUGGUUUCACAGCCUACUGUCCGUCCAAGUUCGCCAUCAGGGGAUUGGCAGAAGCUCUGCAGAUGGAGGUGAAGCCCUAUAAUGUUUAUGUCACAGUUGCCUACCCACCGGACACAGACACCCCCGGGUUUGCGGAAGAAAACAAAACCAAGUGUUCAGCACCUCUGGACAUUAACAUUAAUACAGUGACUGUCAGUCAUCCUGAGCUGAAUGCCAGCUCUGCACUUUGUUCAGAUGAACCUGCCUUGACACGUGGUAGGCACUCUCUGAGCAAACAAAGUGGGGGAGAAAGGAAUCAAUCAGAACUUAUCCCCUUGAACUUGCCUCUGGAGACUCGGCUUAUUUCAGAGACCACAUCUGUUUGCAAACCAGAACAAGUGGCCAAACAAAUUGUUAAAGAUGCCAUACAAGGAAAUUUCAACAGUUCCAUUGGCUCAGAUGGGUACAUGCUCUCGUCCCUGACCUGUGGAAUGGCUCCGGUAACUUCCAUCACUGAAGGGCUCCAGCAGGUGGUCACCAUGGGCCUCUUCCGUACGAUUGCUUUGUUCUACCUUGGAAGCUUCGACAGUAUAGUUCGUCGUUGCAUGAUGCAGAGAGCGAAAUCUGAAAUUGCAGACAAAACUGCCUAAUUCUUAUCCCUUGGAAAAAGACUUUCUAAAUAAUUUGACCAGCUUGCUGCUAAACGGGACGCAGUUUUUGGCCUGCAGACAUUCGUGUCUUACUUUCGAAUCUGUGAGAUUGGACCAGUGCUCUUCAGAAACCUGGCUGCAAGCAGGGGGAUAGACGUUCAAACUCCAGAGAAUAUUAUUAAUACUAUGCAAAUUUGGAGCAGGAGACCACUUGAUUCUCCGAGGCAGAGAAGUGAUGACUCAGACGCUUAGGGCACUGUUCAUUUUUCGUUCACCGGGAAAGGCAGGCUCCUAAAAUGUUUUCUGAAGAGAAGUCAAAUCUUAGAAGCUUAAAAGUUUACAAUUUCUUCAAUAGCCAUGAUGACCUGAAGCUCACCCAUUCCAUUGUAGUGUCUUACUCUUCCCAUGUCUUCCUUUCCAAUUUUGCUUAUACUGCUAUAAUAUUUUUGUAAAAAAAAAAAAAAGAGAAGACCAGUUUUUUUUGACUUGACUUUUUAAAUUAAUGAAUGAAUUUAUUAAAGCAAAUGAAAAAAUUAGAAAGCGUGACCUUUGUCUCCUCGUAGCAUAUAUGUAGCUUUUAAGAGAGGCAGAUGAUAGCGUGUUUCAGUUUUAUUUAUUAAGAAAAAAAAAUGUAGGAUGACAAGGCUGAUGUUGAAGAUACUCGUUUUGGAAAUAAAAUGAUCACCCUGUUCUUUCUAUGACUCUCCCACUGACCCUGAGAACAUCCUCUUUGUACCACAUGUUAAGAAAGCCCAGCCAUCUCUCUCACCGUAGAGACCUGGAAAUCUUGUUGGUCCCCUGAGUGUUGUUUCAAGAUGCCAGGCUCCGUUGCCCGUUGGUUGGAUUUCCACAGCAAGUGCCUCUGAUGAGUUUUAGCCACCGCUACCUGCUUUGCUCUGUCAUUGUAUGUGUUUCCUCCGACUUGAGGGCCGUCUCCUCCAUUGUAACGCUGUUUCCCCUCCCCUUUGCAUACACAGUAAGUUUAUACGUUACCACCUUCCAGUUCCUUGUGGUGAGAAAAGACCACUGCAUUUGAAGAAGAAACUUUUUUUUUAUUGUUUUAAAAAAAAACAACACAAAAGAUCGUUUUGGUAACAGUACAAAACAAUACAAUUCCACAAAAGAUUAAAGACCUAAAAAUUAUUGCAAAUCUUUUUUGCCUUUGAGUUUUUGAACUCUUGACUUUAAAAUGACUUGAUUUUUACAAAGUAAGAUGUCUAAUGGCUUUAAUCCAUGGUGUCUUUUUAAAAGACAUGAGAAUGGCACAUUUUCAAACACUGACAAUGACAGAAGAAAUUAUUGUUUAAUAUAUAAGUUGCUUGGGAUGACUUCAUUGCAGUUUAUGGGGGUGGUUUGAACCCAUAAUGGUUUCAUGAAUCUUUCCGCCUUAGAGAGCCAUCGUCUGCAAAGUUGAGUCAUAUCAGGCAGCCUCUAAAAGGGAGUAAAGGCUGUGCUUUCCUAAUUCAUGGAUACAGAUAAAUAGCUGGGUGCUUCUCAAUUUGAUUCUUUUCUCAUAAAUGCUUCUUGAAUGUUGGUACCUUCUACUGAAGGUCUAUAUUAAAAUCUAGUCCCAGGUGAUGCCUCAUUUAAUAAAAUUAACUAUUUUGCAAUAGUUAUUUCAAUAUACAUUUCUCAAGGUAUCCUCAGAGAGAGCACUGUGACUCCAGGUCAUCUCCUGCCUGAACAAAUUGACACCCCCCUCCUGUUCCACGGCGGGGAGAUAUCCCCAACCCAAAUGAAGCUCAGGCAUGAGAGCAGAUCUGUGGAGGUUAUAGGAUCAGGGAAUGGGCUCCUUUGUCAGAGAUGGCAAAGGUCUACAUUCUCGUAACCAAAAAGCUUUGAAAACUGAGGUGUUCCUUUUAUUCUUCCUAAAUUUGGUGCCAUAAUUCAUUUGAUAGCAAAACCUGACUUGAACUGACUUGAGAUUAUUAUAGUUUUUAUUUAUGCCACUCCAUGGGCUGUUCAUUAAUUUUGUCUGAAGAAAUACCAAUGGGUUUGACUUACAGGGAUUGCCCCAGACUCUGCGGAGAUGUUUUGUAAUAUCCAGUAUAUGCCCCAUGUUACCUUUU